This 232-nucleotide ribosomal RNA is filed under the name uncultured bacterium. Its description in RNAcentral is "partial 16S ribosomal RNA". It matches the Rfam family "Bacterial small subunit ribosomal RNA", at positions 524 to 755 of the family's 1533-position model. The record is from RNAcentral.
UACGUAGGGGGCAAGCGUUGUCCGGAAUUAUUGGGCGUAAAGCGCGCGCAGGCGGUCAAUUAAGUUGGGUGUUUAAGCCCGGGGCUCAACCCCGGUUCGCAUCCAAAACUGGUUGACUUGAGUGUAGGAGAGGAAAGUGGAAUUCCACGUGUAGCGGUGAAAAUGCGUAGAGAUGUGGAGGAACACCAGUGGCGAAGGCGGCUUCUUGGGCCUUUACUGACGCUGAGGCGCG